RNAcentral lists this ribosomal RNA (503 nucleotides) under uncultured bacterium. RNAcentral's name for it is "partial 16S ribosomal RNA". It matches the Rfam family "Bacterial small subunit ribosomal RNA", at positions 28 to 523 of the family's 1533-position model. The record is from RNAcentral.
GAUGAACGCUAGCGGCAGGCCUAACACAUGCAAGUCGAGGGGUAGCAGGAUUAAGCUUGCUUAAUUGCUGACGACCGGCGCACGGGUGCGUAACGCGUAUGCAACCUACCUUAUACUGGGGUAUAGCCCGGAGAAAUUCGGAUUAAUCCCCCAUAGUACUAAUGAAUCGCAUGGUUUAUUAGUUAAAGCAUUGCGGUAUAAGAUGGGCAUGCGUCCUAUUAGCUAGAUGGUGAGGUAACGGCUCACCAUGGCUACGAUAGGUAGGGGGCCUGGGGGGGUGGUCCCCCACACUGGUACUGGGACACGGACCAGACUCCUACGGGAGGCAGCAGUGAGGAAUAUUGGUCAAUGGGCGCAAGCCUGAACCAGCCAUGCCGCGUGCAGGAAGAAUGCCCUAUGGGUUGUAAACUGCUUUUAUUUGGGAAUAAACCUCUUUACGUGUAGAGAGCUGAAGGUACCAAAUGAAUAAACACCGGCUAACUCCGUGCCAGCCGCCGCCGUAA